RNAcentral lists this ribosomal RNA (696 nucleotides) under uncultured bacterium. RNAcentral's name for it is "bacterial SSU rRNA". It matches the Rfam family "Bacterial small subunit ribosomal RNA", at positions 91 to 770 of the family's 1533-position model. The record is from RNAcentral.
GCGAGCGGCGGAUGGGUGAGUAACACGUGGGGAACCUGCCCCUAAGUCUGGGAUACCAUUUGGAAACAGGGUGCUAAUACCGGAUAAUAAAGCAGAUCGCAUGAUCAGCUUUUGAAAGGCGGCGUAAGCUGUCGCUAAGGGAUGGCCCCGCGGUGCAUUAGCUAGUUGGUAAGGUAACGGCUUACCAAGGCGACGAUGCAUAGCCGAGUUGAGAGACUGAUCGGCCACAUUGGGACUGAGACACGGCCCAAACUCCUACGGGAGGCAGCAGUAGGGAAUCUUCCACAAUGGACGCAAGUCUGAUGGAGCAACGCCGCGUGAGUGAAGAAGGUUUUCGGAUCGUAAAGCUCUGUUGUUGGUGAAGAAGGAUAGAGGUAGUAACUGGCCUUUAUUUGACGGUAAUCAACCAGAAAGUCACGGCUAACUACGUGCCAGCAGCCGCGGUAAUACGUGGGUGGCAAGCGUUGUCCGGAUUUAUUGGGCGUAAAGCGAGCGCAGGCGGAAAAAUAAGUCUAAUGUGAAAGCCCUCGGCUUAACCGAGGAACUGCAUCGGAAACUGUUUUUCUUGAGUGCAGAAGAGGAGAGUGGAACUCCAUGUGUAGCGGUGGAAUGCGUAGAUAUAUGGGAAGAACACCAGUGGCGAAGGCGGCUCUCUGGUCUGCAACUGACGCUGAGGCUCGAAAAGCAUGGGUAGCG